This 433-nucleotide ribosomal RNA is filed under the name uncultured bacterium. Its description in RNAcentral is "partial 16S ribosomal RNA". It matches the Rfam family "Bacterial small subunit ribosomal RNA", at positions 29 to 507 of the family's 1533-position model. The record is from RNAcentral.
AACGAACGCUGGCGGCAUGCCUAACACAUGCAAGUCGAACGAGACCUUCGGGUCUAAUGGCGCACGGGUGCGUAACGCGUGGGAACCUGCCCUUAGGUUCGGAAUAACUCCCCGAAAGGGGUGCUAAUACCGGAUAAUUUCUUCGGACCAAAGAUUUAUCGCCCUUGGAUGGGCCCGCGUUGGAUUAGCUAGUUGGUAGGGUAAAAGCCUACCAAGGCGACGAUCCAUAGCUGGUCUGAGAGGAUGAUCAGCCACACUGGGACUGAGACACGGCCCAGAAUCCUACGGGAGGCAGCAGUGGGGAAUAUUGGACAAUGGGCGAAAGCCUGAUCCAGCAAUGCCGCGUGAGUGAUGAAGGCCUUAGGGUUGUAAAGCUCUUUUACCCGGGAUGAUAAUGACAGUACCGGGAGAAUAAGCUCCGGCUAACUCCGUG